AAAGAGGAAAUUGAAAAAAAAUAGCUGCUAACUAAUUUUUUAUAGCGGUUAAAUUCCGUUUACCUCUUAU
This 70-nucleotide transfer RNA is filed under the name Krisna rufimarginata. RNAcentral's name for it is "tRNA-Ser". Lineage: Eukaryota; Metazoa; Arthropoda; Insecta; Hemiptera; Cicadellidae. The record is from RNAcentral.